RNAcentral lists this unclassified non-coding RNA (273 nucleotides) under fungal sp. RNAcentral's name for it is "partial internal transcribed spacer region". The stretch from base 1 to 46 matches the Rfam family "Eukaryotic small subunit ribosomal RNA", at positions 1786 to 1831 of the family's 1831-position model. Lineage: Eukaryota; Fungi. The record is from RNAcentral.
AAGUCGUAACAAGGUCUCCGCAGGUGAACCUGCGGAGGGAUCAUUAACACUUUUCUAUGAGAGAGGAAACUCUUUCUGUCCACUCGUGAACUAACUUAUGCCCCGAUUGGUUUAUAAUUUAUUUUAUAGGCUGAUCAACAAUUUUUCUAUUGUUAUCUAAAACCUUUUCCAACCGCUAACGCUAUAAACAAGCAAUAUUAUAUAUGAAAAUAUAUAAUAUGGUGAUAUAGUAAAAUCUAAGCACAACUCUUAGCAACGGAUAUCUCGGUUCUC